Molecule: ribosomal RNA, 332 nt
Filed under: Dalbulus longulus
Lineage: Eukaryota; Metazoa; Arthropoda; Insecta; Hemiptera; Cicadellidae
Description: partial 12S ribosomal RNA
Source: RNAcentral
AUUCAUUUGAAUAGUAUUAGUUAUGAUCUUUUAAGCUCAAAUAACUUGGCGGUAAAAUACCUAUUUAGAGGAACCUGUAAAUUAAUUGAUAAUCCACGAUAGAUUUUACUUUAUAUUAUAUUUGUAUAUCACUAUAUUUUGGAAUGUUUUGUGAGAAAUUUUCUUUUUCUUAAGAUUUAUGUUAGGUCACGAUGCAGUUUUUAUAAAGUUUUUAUGGGUUACCAUAAUAUUAAAUUUUGAUAGGAAUUUUUUAAAAUUUAAAUUAUGAAUUAGGAUUUAAUAGUAAUUAUAAUUAAUUAAUUAAUUUGAAUAAAUGCUCUGUUUUAUGCACA